UACGAGGGGGGCGAGCGUUGUUCGGAAUUAUUGGGCGUAAAGGGUGCGUAGGCGGUUUGGUAAGUCUGAUGAUGAAAUCUGAUGGGCUCAACUCAUAGUCUGCAUCGGAAACUGCCGGGCUUGAGUGUGGGAGAGGUGAGUGGAAUUCCUGGUGUAGCGGUGAAAUGCGUAGAUAUCAGGAGGAACACCUGUGGCGAAAGCGGCUCACUGGACCAUAACUGACGCUGAUGCACGAAAGCUAGGGGAGCAAACAGG
Molecule: ribosomal RNA, 255 nt
Filed under: uncultured bacterium
Lineage: Bacteria
Description: partial 16S ribosomal RNA
Rfam family: Bacterial small subunit ribosomal RNA
Source: RNAcentral